This 266-nucleotide unclassified non-coding RNA is filed under the name plant metagenome. RNAcentral's name for it is "partial contains small subunit ribosomal RNA, internal transcribed spacer 1, and 5.8S ribosomal RNA". The record is from RNAcentral.
UUUCCGUAGGUGAACCUGCGGCAGGACCAUUAUAGAGAGAGAGAGAGAGAGAGAGGGAGAGGUUGGCGGGGCGGCCUGGAUGGUGUUGGGGCGUGGGCUGACGGCUGCCGGGGCACGGCGGGUUCACGCGAUGCCAUCAUCAUUGGUGGUAUGUAGGCGCGUGCUGCGGGCUAGCCGCGAAAUUUGCGCGCUUGUGUGUUUGUCAGAAUGGGCGAGAAAGAAAAAAGAAAUAAAGAAAACUUUUAACAAUGGAUCUCUUGGCUCUU